This 21-nucleotide microRNA is filed under the name Raphanus sativus (radish). Its description in RNAcentral is "rsa-miRn25". The record is from RNAcentral. Lineage: Eukaryota; Viridiplantae; Streptophyta; Magnoliopsida; Brassicales; Brassicaceae.
GGUAGUUUGACCGCGAAAUUU